CCAGACAUCUGUGAAAGUAGUGUAACAACAAAAGAAGAAGGCGGCAAAGGAAAGGUAAUCAUUAAGAAAGAGAAUAAGGAAGUGGCAACGCCGAUAGAAAAACAGACUUCGUUCCAAAAGGAACACGACAAAUUUAUGAGCGAUAUAGUAUUUGAGGAGAUGUGCCUUGUGGAAGGGGAGCUUCCGGACAAACUAGCGAGGAAUGGGACAACAGAAGGCGAGAUUAGCACGAAUGGGGAGAACACGGAGGAGGAGGUUUCCAGCAAGAUUAGAGGGUGAAAAACAACAUCAAGGA
This is a long non-coding RNA of Setaria italica (foxtail millet), 295 nucleotides long. RefSeq lists it as uncharacterized. NCBI's taxonomy places the organism in Eukaryota, Viridiplantae, Streptophyta, Magnoliopsida, Poales, Poaceae. The transcript is spliced from 3 exons. The record is from RefSeq and is a predicted model, not a curated record.